Molecule: ribosomal RNA, 497 nt
Filed under: uncultured bacterium
Lineage: Bacteria
Description: partial 16S ribosomal RNA
Rfam family: Bacterial small subunit ribosomal RNA
Source: RNAcentral
GAUGAACGCUGGCGGCGUGCCUAAUACAUGCAAGUCGAGCGAACAGACGAGGAGCUUGCUCCUCUGACGUUAUCGGCGGACGGGUGAGUAACACGUGGUUAACCUACCUAUAAGACUGGGAUAACUUCGGGAAACCGGAGCUAAUACCGGAUAAUAUAUCGAACUGCAUUGUUCACUAGUGAAAGACGGUUUUUGUGUCAGUUAUAGAUUGAUCCGGGUCGCAUUAGCUAGUUGGGAAGGUGAAGGCUUAGCAAGGCAACGAUGCGUAGACGACCUGAGAGGGUGAUCGGCCACACUAGAACUGAGACACGGUCCAGACUCCUACGGUAGGCAGCAGUAGAGAAUCUUCCGCAAGGGGCGAAAGCGUGACGGAGCAACGCCGCGUGAGGGAUGAAGGUCUUCGGAUCGUAGAGCUCUGUUAUUAGGGAAGAACAAAUGUGUAAGUAACUAUGCACGUCUUGACGGUACCUAAUCAGAAAGCCACGGCUAACUACGUG